Molecule: ribosomal RNA, 266 nt
Filed under: uncultured Staphylococcus sp.
Lineage: Bacteria; Bacillati; Bacillota; Bacilli; Caryophanales; Staphylococcaceae
Description: partial 16S ribosomal RNA
Rfam family: Bacterial small subunit ribosomal RNA
Source: RNAcentral
CGGCGGACGGGUGAGUAACACGUGGGUAACCUACCUAUAAGACUGGGACAACUUCGGGAAACCGGAGCUAAUACCGGAUAAGAUAUCGAACCGCAUGGUUCGAUAGUGAAAGANGGUUUUGCUAUCACUUAUAGAUGGACCCGCGCCGUAUUAGCUAGUUGGUGAGGUAACGGCUCACCAAGGCAACGAUACGUAGCCGACCUGAGAGGGUGAUCGGCCACACUGGAACUGAGACACGGUCCAGACUCCUACGGGAGGCAGCAGAC